Molecule: ribosomal RNA, 253 nt
Filed under: uncultured bacterium
Lineage: Bacteria
Description: partial 16S ribosomal RNA
Rfam family: Bacterial small subunit ribosomal RNA
Source: RNAcentral
UACGUAGGGUGCAAGCGUUGUCCGGAAUUAUUGGGCGUAAAGAGCUCGUAGGCGGUUUGUUGCGUCGGCUGUGAAAUCCCGAGGCUCAACCUCGGGUCUGCAGUCGAUACGAGCAAACUAGAGUGUUGCAGGGGAGACUGGAAUUCCUGGUGUAGCGGUGAAAUGCGCAGAUAUCAGGAGGAACACCGGUGGCGAAGGCGGGUCUCUGGGCAACAACUGACGCUGAGGAGCGAAAGCGUGGGGAGUGAACAGG